AUACGGAGGGUGCAAGCGUUAUUCGGAAUCACUGGGCGUAAAGCGCGCGCAGGCGGGCUGAUAAGUUGGAUGUGAAAGCCUACGGCUCAACCGUAGAACUGCAUCCAAAACUGUCAGUCUAGAGUCUGGGAGGGGAAGAUGGAAUUAGUUGUGUAGGGGUAAAAUCCGUAGAGAUAACUAGGAAUACCAGAAGCGAAGGCGAUCUUCUGGAACAGUACUGACGCUGAGGCGCGAAAGCGUGGGGAGCAAACAGGAUUAGAAACCCCAGUAGUCC
Molecule: ribosomal RNA, 274 nt
Filed under: uncultured bacterium
Lineage: Bacteria
Description: partial 16S ribosomal RNA
Rfam family: Bacterial small subunit ribosomal RNA
Source: RNAcentral